AAGUCGUAACAAGGUUUCCGUAGGUGAACCUGCGGAAGGAUCAUUAUCACGUUGCAAAACACUUAUCAACCUUGCGUGCACUCGGUUCCUUCAGAAUAUUUUUUGGGUUUGGUGGUUUGGGUUGUUUGUUGAAGUGGUUUGGAACACCCGCCAUCUUUGGUUUUGACAGUCAUUUUGAUUGUUCAACCAGCCCUAUUCUGAAGAGCUGUUUUUUGCGGUACCACCUCAGCCGCGUCUUGUUUCACCUUUUUUCCUUUUUAAACCCCUGUACGAUUCAUGAACUGAUUUGGUUCUUUUGUCUGGUCAUUCAGUUGAUCUUGCGAAAGAAUUCACUUACAAAAACAUCAAAACAACUCUUAACAACGGAUAUCUUGGUUCCCG
Molecule: unclassified non-coding RNA, 381 nt
Filed under: fungal sp.
Lineage: Eukaryota; Fungi
Description: partial internal transcribed spacer region
Rfam family: Eukaryotic small subunit ribosomal RNA (bases 1-46)
Source: RNAcentral